This 301-nucleotide ribosomal RNA is filed under the name uncultured bacterium. RNAcentral's name for it is "partial 16S ribosomal RNA". It matches the Rfam family "Bacterial small subunit ribosomal RNA", at positions 509 to 807 of the family's 1533-position model. The record is from RNAcentral.
CAGUAGCCACGGUAAUACAGAGGGUGCAAGCGUUAAUCGGAAUUACUGGGCGUAAAGCGCGCGUAGGUGGUUUGUUAAGUUGGAUGUGAAAUCCCCGGGCUCAACCUGGGAACUGCAUCCAAAACUGGCAGGCUAGAGUAGGGCAGAGGGUGGUGGAAUUUCCUGUGUAGCGGUGAAAUGCGUAGAUAUAGGAAGGAACAUCAGUGGCGAAGGCGACCACCUGGACUGAUACUGACACUGAGGUGCGAAAGCGUGGGGAGCAAACAGGAUUAGAUACCCGCGUAGUCCCUGUCUCUUAUAC